UUUGCAUCGAUCAUUUUUUCCUAUUAGUGAAUUUUAUUGUUGCAUUGUUCUCAUUCAGAUGGGAUUGCAAUUGCUGGAUGUAUUAGCUAUAAAUUGUACUUCACUUAUGGCCAUCAAGAGUUUUAUUUUAUUGUGGGACUCAUUAUCUAAUUGUGGAUUAUAUGGUUGGGCAUUUUCUUGUAUGGGUCGAUGACGGUUUUGUAAUGGCUCGAAAGAGGACCUGAAGAUUGUUGACAUUUGGAUAUGAGAAUGGGAGUAUAGGACAAAUUGUCAUCUUUUGGAUCUGCCUUGGAACAUAUUGAAGGGGAUUGAAAAGUUCUUAGUGGGACAAAGGUCUCUAGGCUAAUGCAUGUAGAUUGAAGUUGGAUACCAAGAAGAGAAAGGUAAAGAUUGAUUCAUUCCAGCAUACAAAGAAAAUCAAGCUGACAAGAGCAUACUAUUAGGAAUCCGAACACACGGCAACAGAUUUGUAGACUUGAUGCAAGGAUCAGGUAGAACCUUGUUGCCAUGCAGCAGUCGGAACGUGAGCUCGAGGCCAUGUCUUCCUUUGAUUAUAGGGAAAUUAUGUUCUUCCUCAUCAGGCCAUUAUGGAGGGUCUGUACUGAAUUUAGUUUAACGGUUUUCUAUUAUCUGUUCCAGUUGUUGAGCAUUUCAUGUUGAGUUUGAGUUUAAAUGAUCUGGUCCACCUGGUUUAAAAUUACUUGUUUGGAUAGUCCUAAAAGGUUGUUGCUUUCUCUUGCUUGAUUUGUUAUGGAUUCUGAUCGAUGGGGCAAGGUGGCCCACCUCGAGAUGUGGAGUGUGAGAGGCCACGGCUUGUUUUGGAUCCGCCAAGGGUUGAAGGUGGAGGAUCUACAAAUGAGCCUGGAAGGACUCGAUCGAGCACAUUCAGUGCAGGCCAUUCGAGGGAGGAGGUUUUAGCUAAGAAAGGGCUAGAUUGGAGGAAGGUGGAUUCGGAGAUUGAGGUUACUGAACCCUGGUUAAUUUCUAUACACUUGCUCUCAACAAUAUUGAUUUAUCUUUUUCAUUUUCUUUUUCUUUUUUUCUUUUUUAUUUCAGUAACAAGUCAUGCCUUUAACCAGAUAUUGUCUCCUGUUUUUGUACAUGUACAUUGUUAAGUAAGAUACAAAUGUUGGUAAUGGAUGAUGUAAUGACACAGGUACAAGAAUGUCUUCCUUUCUUAUUUGCAUUUUUACUGAUAAAAGAUGUUACUUCAUAA
Long non-coding RNA from Magnolia sinica, 1216 nucleotides. RefSeq lists it as uncharacterized. The transcript has 2 exons. Lineage: Eukaryota; Viridiplantae; Streptophyta; Magnoliopsida; Magnoliales; Magnoliaceae. The record is from RefSeq and is a predicted model, not a curated record.